UUAACUGGGGCAGCGACUGGUGUCCAAAGGGAAACUCAUCGAGAACAGAAAUCUCAAGUAGAAUAAAAAGGUAAAUGUUCCCUUGGUUGUGAUAAUCAGCGUGAAUACAAACCAUGAAAGUGUAGCCUAUCGAUCCUUUAUCCAGGAAUUUCAGGCAUCGCUUUAACCUGAAAACCUGGAG
RNAcentral lists this non-coding RNA (181 nucleotides) under Linnemannia elongata AG-77. RNAcentral's name for it is "Mortierella elongata AG-77 Eukaryotic large subunit ribosomal RNA". It matches the Rfam family "Eukaryotic large subunit ribosomal RNA", at positions 2621 to 2800 of the family's 3401-position model. The record is from Rfam by way of RNAcentral. Lineage: Eukaryota; Fungi; Mortierellomycota; Mortierellomycetes; Mortierellales; Mortierellaceae.